RNAcentral lists this ribosomal RNA (497 nucleotides) under uncultured bacterium. RNAcentral's name for it is "partial 16S ribosomal RNA". It matches the Rfam family "Bacterial small subunit ribosomal RNA", at positions 28 to 507 of the family's 1533-position model. The record is from RNAcentral.
GACGAACGCUGGCGGCGUGCCUAAUACAUGCAAGUCGAACGCUGAAGAGAGGAGCUUGCUCUUCUUGGAUGAGUUGCGAACGGGUGAGUAACGCGUAGGUAACCUGCCUUGUAGCGGGGGAUAACUAUUGGAAACGAUAGCUCAUACCGCAUAACAAUGGAUGACACAUGUCAUUUAUUUGAAAGGGGCAAUUGCUCCACUACAAGAUGGACCUGCGUUGUAUUAGCUAGUAGGUGAGGUAAUGGCUCACCUAGGCGACGAUACAUAGCCGACCUGAGAGGGUGAUCGGCCACACUGGGACUGAGACACGGCCCAGACUCCUACGGGAGGCAGCAGUAGGGAAUCUUCGGCAAUGGGGGCAACCCUGACCGAGCAACGCCGCGUGAGUGAAGAAGAGUUUCGGAUCGUAAAGCUCGGUUGUAAGUCAAGAACGGGUGUGAGAGUGGAAAGUUCACACUGUGACGGUAGCUUACCAGAAAGGGACGGCUAACUACGUG